Molecule: ribosomal RNA, 497 nt
Filed under: uncultured bacterium
Lineage: Bacteria
Description: partial 16S ribosomal RNA
Rfam family: Bacterial small subunit ribosomal RNA
Source: RNAcentral
GAUGAACGCUGGCGGCGUGCCUAAUACAUGCAAGUCGAGCGAACGGACGAGAAGCUUGCUUCUCUGAUGUUAGCGGCGGACGGGUGAGUAACACGUGGAUAACCUACCUAUAAGACUGGGAUAACUUCGGGAAACCGGAGCUAAUACCGUAUGAUCUUUUGAACCGCAUGGUUCAAAAGUGAAAGACGGUCUUGCUGUCACUUAUCGAUGGAUCCGCGCUGCAUUAGCUAGUUGGUAAGGUAACGGCUUACCAAGGCAACGAUGCCUAGCCGACCUGAGAGGGUGAUCGGCCACACUGGAACUGAGACACGGUCCAGACUCCUACGGGAGGCAGCAGUAGGGAAUCUUACGCAAUGGGCGAAAGCCUGACGGAGCAACGCCGCGUGAGUGAUGAAGGUCUUCGGAUCGUAAAACUCUGUUAUGAGGGAAGAACAUAUGUGUAAGUAACUGUGCACAUCGUGACGGUACCUAAUCAGAAAGCCACGGCUAACUACGUG